UCAAGAUAAGCCAUGCAUGUCUAAGUAUAAGCAAUUAUACCGUGAAACUGCGAAUGGCUCAUUAAAUCAGUUAUCGUUUAUUUGAUAGUACCUUACUACUUGGAUAACCGUGGUAAUUCUAGAGCUAAUACAUGCUUAAAACCUCGACUUCGGGAGGGGUGUAUUUAUUAGAUAAAAAACCAACGCCCUUCGGGGCUUCUUGGUGAUUCAUGAUAACUUUACGGAUCGCAUGGCCUUGCGCCGGCGACGGUUCAUUCAAAUUUCUGCCCUAUCAACUUUCGAUGGUAAGGUAUUGGCUUACCAUGGUUUCAACGGGUAACGGGGAAUUAGGGUUCGAUUCCGGAGAGGGAGCCUGAGAAACGGCUACCACAUCCAAGGAAGGCAGCAGGCGCGCAAAUUACCCAAUCCCGACACGGGGAGGUAGUGACAAUAAAUACUGAUACAGGGCUCUUUUGGGUCUUGUAAUUGGAAUGAGUACAAUUUAAACCUCUUAACGAGGAACAAUUGGAGGGCAAGUCUGGUGCCAGCAGCCGCGGUAAUUCCAGCUCCAAUAGCGUAUAUUAAAGUUGUUGCAGUUAAAAAGCUCGUAGUUGAAACUUGGGUCUGGCUGGCAGGUCCGCCUCACCGCGUGUACUUGUCCGGCCGGGCCUUCCUUCUGGAGAACCUCAUGCCCUUUACUGGGCGUGUUGGGGACCAGGACUUUUACUUUGAAAAAAUUAGAGUGUUCAAAGCAGGCCUUUGCUCGAAUACGUUAGCAUGGAAUAAUAGAAUAGGACGUGCGGUCCUAUUUUGUUGGUUUCUAGGACCGCCGUAAUGAUUAAUAGGGACAGUCGGGGGCAUCAGUAUUCAAUUGUCAGAGGUGAAAUUCUUGGAUUUAUUGAAGACUAACUACUGCGAAAGCAUUUGCCAAGGAUGUUUUCAUUAAUCAGUGAACGAAAGUUAGGGGAUCGAAGACGAUCAGAUACCGUCGUAGUCUUAACCGUAAACUAUGCCGACUAGGGAUCGGGCGAUGUUCUUUUUCUGACUCGCUCGGCACCUUACGAGAAAUCAAAGUUUUUGGGUUCUGGGGGGAGUAUGGUCGCAAGCUGAA
This 1090-nucleotide ribosomal RNA is filed under the name Heterosporicola beijingensis. Its description in RNAcentral is "SSU rRNA". It matches the Rfam family "Eukaryotic small subunit ribosomal RNA", at positions 38 to 1141 of the family's 1831-position model. The record is from RNAcentral. Lineage: Eukaryota; Fungi; Ascomycota; Dothideomycetes; Pleosporales; Leptosphaeriaceae.